UACGUAAGGCAGCAGUGGGGAAUAUUGCACAAUGGGCGCAAGCCUGAUGCAGCCAUGCCGCGUGUAUGAAGAAGGCCUUCGGGUUGUAAAGUACUUUCAGUCGUGAGGAAGGUGUUAAGGUUAAUAACCUUAGCAAUUGACGUUAGCGACAGAAGAAGCACCGGCUAACUCCGUGCCAGCAGCCGCGGUAAUACGGAGGGUGCGAGCGUUAAUCGGAAUUACUGGGCGUAAAGGGCACGCAGGCGGUUAAUUAAGUUGGAUGUGAAAUCCCCGGGCUUAACCUGGGAAUGGCAUUCAAGACUGGUUAGCUAGAGUCUUGUAGAGGGGGUAGAAUUCCAUGUGUAGCGGUGAAAUGCGUAGAGAUGUGGAGGAAUACCGGUGGCGAAGGCGGCCCCUGGACAAAGACUGACGCUCAUGUGCGAAAGCGUGGGGAGCAAAC
Molecule: ribosomal RNA, 439 nt
Filed under: uncultured bacterium
Lineage: Bacteria
Description: bacterial SSU rRNA
Rfam family: Bacterial small subunit ribosomal RNA
Source: RNAcentral